This 1164-nucleotide long non-coding RNA is filed under the name Anas platyrhynchos platyrhynchos (common mallard). RNAcentral's name for it is "lncRNA (ENSAPLG00000021836.1)". The record is from RNAcentral. Lineage: Eukaryota; Metazoa; Chordata; Aves; Anseriformes; Anatidae.
GACCAUUUGUCGCUGUUCACAUCCACAUAACUUCUGCAGAAGAUGUAAACCUAUCUUAUUCUUCUGGUCACAGAUUUAAAACAAACAAACAAACCUGAAAUAAAUAAUAUAAAAGUCAAAUAGUACAUAGCUGAUUUAAGGAGCAAGUCUGAGCAAUUAUUUCCUGAAAAUAAGGCUUCAUUUUUGUAAAGUGGCUAGUCUAGCUUCCACUGCACAACAGUCACAGAGAUUACGUUUCCUGUGUGGCCCAUUACUGAGGCUGGAUUUGAUAAGGUAGCUAGUAAUAAGUCUCCUGUGUGUAGGAGAGGAUUUAUGUAGGAUUUUCUCCAUCAAAAUCUUACCGUACUGGCACACCCUGAACUAUAAGUUACAGUGCACUUGAGUCCUGACAUUGUAAUGCAUAGAGCAGGACACUUCGCUGUAAAUUGGAUUCUCUAGGAAUGGAAAAAAUGGAGAAAUCCAGCAAUGUUUCAUUAUGGAAAGCACUCAAAUGUGAGAAGUCUAGCCAAACGGGGAAGGGAUUCUUUUCCAACUCCUGCUGUUGAGGCCAACUCAAUAUCAUUACUUUGCCUUGCUCAGUAAAGGGUCAUUUAUUUUUGCCAUUUUAAUAAGACUAUCUAGCUAUCGACUUCAUUUUACUAUUUCAGGCGCUUUUCUGAAUACAGAGUGGAACUAACAGUCCCUUUAUCCUGCUACCUUUUUGACACAGUAUUUGAACUGCUGUCAAGAGUUUGGGAGUACAAUUUGCAGAGAAGGCAUGGAAGAAAAAGAGAGCAGUAUGUGCUGCCUACCUCCAUGAAGCAGUUCCAGGGCUGCACCGUCUGACACCACACUCAGUACCACUUGUUCUAAUCCACCAGGAGCUUGUAGCACCCUUCAGAAGUGCUCUCUUUCAGCACAGGAUGUUGGUAGGUACUCACAGUUUUCUGGGAGACUCUCUGAUCAUUCAGUCCAUUCUCUUCUGGUGGGCUUUGGCUUUUGGAUCACAGCUGCUCACUUCAUUCCUCAAACGUUUAGUCCCUGAACAUAACAAUAACAAUUCAUUAAAACAAAUACUCCAUUAGAGUACUGGUUGCCUAAGAGUACUGGUUGCCUACAGCCGUAGGUUAAUGAGAGUCUUUCGAACAGGUGAGUCCUGCAAAUAAAUGAAGAAUAUGUGUCUCA